RNAcentral lists this ribosomal RNA (594 nucleotides) under Penicillium sp. RNAcentral describes it as "partial large subunit ribosomal RNA". It matches the Rfam family "Eukaryotic large subunit ribosomal RNA", at positions 48 to 657 of the family's 3401-position model. Lineage: Eukaryota; Fungi; Ascomycota; Eurotiomycetes; Eurotiales; Aspergillaceae. The record is from RNAcentral.
UAGCGGAGGAAAAGAAACCAACAGGGAUUGCCUCAGUAACGGCGAGUGAAGCGGCAAGAGCUCAAAUUUGAAAGCUGGCUCCUUCGGGGUCCGCAUUGUAAUUUGCAGAGGAUGCUUCGGGAGCAGCCCCCAUCUAAGUGCCCUGGAACGGGCCGUCAUAGAGGGUGAAAAUCCCGUAUGGGAUGGGGUGUCUGCGCCCAUGUGAAGCUCCUUCGACGAGUCGAGUUGUUUGGGAAUGCAGCUCUAAAUGGGUGGUAAAUUUCAUCUAAAGCUAAAUAUUGGCCGGAGACCGAUAGCGCACAAGUAGAGUGAUCGAAAGAUGAAAAGCACUUUGAAAAGAGAGUUAAAAAGCACGUGAAAUUGUUGAAAGGGAAGCGCUUGCGAUCAGACUCGCCUUGGGGGUUCAGCCGGCAUUCGUGCCGGUGUACUUCCCCCAGGGCGGGCCAGCGUCGGUUUGGGUGGCCGGUCAAAGGCCCUUGGAAUGUAACGCCUCUCGGGGCGUCUUAUAGCCAAGGGUGCCAUGCGGCCUACCUGGACCGAGGAACGCGCUUCGGCUCGGACGCUGGCAUAAUGGUCGUAAGCGACCCGUCUUGA